AAACUAAUUUAAUCUGACGGUAUUUCAUCUAAUUAGAGGAAUUUGUCCUUUAAUCGAUAUUCCACGUUAAAUUUAACUUCAAUUCAAAACUUAUAUACCUCCAUUUCAAGAAUUAAUUUAAAAAUAUUUCUCCCAAAAAUAAAUAAAAAAUUAGGUCAAGGUGUAAUUUAUAUUGAAGAAUGAGAUGAAUUACAAUAAAUAUAAUUUAAAGAUAAUUGAUAAAUAUAUUUAUUUAAAUAAGAAUUUAAAAGUAAUAUUUUAAUAAUAUUAUAAUAUGAUAUAGAUAAUAAAUAUGUACACAUCGCCC
This 307-nucleotide ribosomal RNA is filed under the name Draconarius sp. SD041. RNAcentral describes it as "partial 12S ribosomal RNA". The record is from RNAcentral. Lineage: Eukaryota; Metazoa; Arthropoda; Arachnida; Araneae; Agelenidae.